RNAcentral lists this transfer RNA (85 nucleotides) under Burkholderiales bacterium. RNAcentral describes it as "tRNA-Ser". It matches the Rfam family "tRNA". Rfam says of the family: Transfer RNA (tRNA) molecules are approximately 80 nucleotides in length. Their secondary structure includes four short double-helical elements and three loops (D, anti-codon, and T loops). The record is from RNAcentral. Lineage: Bacteria; Pseudomonadati; Pseudomonadota; Betaproteobacteria; Burkholderiales. RNAcentral also lists the same sequence under 1 other name.
GGAAGGGUGGCAGAGCGGUCUAAUGCACUGGUCUUGAAAACCAGCGAGUCGCAAGGCUCCGUGGGUUCGAAUCCCACUCCUUCCG